RNAcentral lists this ribosomal RNA (253 nucleotides) under [Lactobacillus] rogosae. RNAcentral describes it as "Lactobacillus rogosae partial 16S ribosomal RNA". It matches the Rfam family "Bacterial small subunit ribosomal RNA", at positions 524 to 776 of the family's 1533-position model. Lineage: Bacteria; Bacillati; Bacillota; Clostridia; Lachnospirales; Lachnospiraceae. The record is from RNAcentral.
UACGUAUGGAGCAAGCGUUAUCCGGAUUUACUGGGUGUAAAGGGAGUGUAGGUGGCCAGGCAAGUCAGAAGUGAAAGCCCGGGGCUCAACCUCGGGACUGCUUUUGAAACUGCAGGGCUAGAGUGCAGGAGGGGCAAGUGGAAUUCCUAGUGUAGCGGUGAAAUGCGUAGAUAUUAGGAGGAACACCAGUGGCGAAGGCGGCUUGCUGGACUGUAACUGACACUGAGGCUCGAAAGCGUGGGGAGCAAACAGG